This is a non-coding RNA of Melanotaenia boesemani (Boeseman's rainbowfish), 486 nucleotides long. The record is from the annotation of a RefSeq genome assembly. Lineage: Eukaryota; Metazoa; Chordata; Actinopteri; Atheriniformes; Melanotaeniidae.
AUGCCUACACCCGUCUCUUGGGUGUGCUCCAUAUCUCCUGAGUACUAUCCACCGGUUCCUGCACUACAUCUCCCAUCAGAGGUUUUUGUACGGUGGUUCAAUGAGUUUGUAUCACUGUGGUGGACUUUUGGUGGAGGAACCAGACUGGAUGUUAACUUGGGUCAAGUCCGUCCCACCCUGACGGUGCUGCCCCCCUCUAGUGAGGAGAUAAAGAAGGGCCAUGCCACACUUACAUGUCUGGCCAACAAGGGCUUCCCCUCAGACUGGAGUCUGUCCUGGAAGGUGGACGGCAGCAGCAGCAGCAGCUAUGAGGAGAGCAGGAGCCCCGGGGUGCUGCAGAAGGACGGCCACUACAGCUGGAGCAGCACCCUGAGGGUCCCUGCAGACCAGUGGAGGAAGGUGGGCUCUGUGACCUGUGAGGCCACCCAGGGCUCCCAGACUCCACUCUCAGAGACACUGAGGAGAGACCAGUGUUCCCAGUACUGA